This is a long non-coding RNA of Serinus canaria (Common canary), 893 nucleotides long. RefSeq lists it as uncharacterized. Lineage: Eukaryota; Metazoa; Chordata; Aves; Passeriformes; Fringillidae. The record is from RefSeq and is a predicted model, not a curated record. The transcript is spliced from 3 exons.
UGAGUCAGAGAUGGAGUAGAGAGUUUGAGAAACACAAGGCAAGCAAAAUCUCUUUAAAAGAAGUUUCACUGUGUGCUCAGAAGCCAUAGAAAAUUUAAAUUUAAAACUACUGGAAGAUGUUGAAAACAGGGGGACAAAAAGAGACCUGAAGGUGUUUCAGUCCACUGGCAAGGAGAGGUUCAUGAAUACGGUGCAACACACAGGAGCUCCAAAUGCCAGCUCAUGUCGCAAAAAUCAUCUUUUCUAAGGGUUUUGGCAUACCUGAAGGCUUUGGUUGAAGGUGGAAGCUUCUUUGGCCCUGGGGAUAGCUUCUGAAAGAUGCAGCAACCUCACAGCAGAAUAAUGUCUUAUCUGUACUGCAGAUUUAAAUACCAGAAGGCUGUGGCAUGUCAGUGUAAUAUUAUGGUGGAGAUACUUGGGGAAUUGCAAGUGCCCCACUUAAUAAUGUGACUCGUUAGUCAACAGAGCCUUUGCUGGUGGGAAUUGUCUGUGUCGGCCUUAAUGGAAAAAGUCUUACUUCUUAUCUAAUGGAAAAGUCUUACUUCUUAUCUAACUAUGGAAAAGAGAGAUAUUGUUUUAUUCAGUGACACCAAUGCCAUCGUCUAAAUGGUGACAGCCGGAGGAUUUCUGGGUGAAAUCUGACCAAUGAUUACCAUGAAAUUCAGUGUUCAAGCAAAAAUGAUUGCCCAUAUUUUAUAGCUAUAACAUACAAGGAUACAGGCUAUAUCUGACUGGUUUAUUUUGACAAAUCAAAAGUUUACCAUUCAGUAUAGUAACAGUGUUGUAAACUCUCAUCAGGAUAAGAGCCUUAGGUAUUGCAGUAUAAAUGUCUACAUAUAAUCUGACUAAUGCAUGUAUUUUGUAAGCAAUUACUAUCGCUUGUCCUUUGACAG